UGGGGCUGGGGCUCAGUGGCAGAGCACUCGCCCAACACGUGUGAGGCUCUGGGUUCGAUCCUCAGCACCACAA
Molecule: transfer RNA, 73 nt
Filed under: Marmota monax (woodchuck)
Lineage: Eukaryota; Metazoa; Chordata; Mammalia; Rodentia; Sciuridae
Description: tRNA.Val
Source: RNAcentral